This 253-nucleotide ribosomal RNA is filed under the name uncultured prokaryote. RNAcentral's name for it is "partial 16S ribosomal RNA". It matches the Rfam family "Bacterial small subunit ribosomal RNA", at positions 524 to 776 of the family's 1533-position model. The record is from RNAcentral.
GACGAAGGAUGCAAGCGUUAUCCGGAUUCAUUGGGUUUAAAGGGUGCGUAGGCGGACUUGUAAGUCAGUGGUGAAAUCUCUUUGCUUAACAAAGAAACUGCCAUUGAUACUGCAGGUCUAGAGUAUAGAUGACGUUGGCGGAAUAUGACAUGUAGUGGUGAAAUACUUAGAUAUGUCAUAGAACACCGAUCGCGAAGGCAGUCUGCCAAACUAUUACUGACACUGAAACACGAAAGUGCGGGGAUCAAACAGG